CCUACGGGUGGCAGCAGUGAGGAAUAUUGGUCAAUGGGCGCGAGCCUGAACCAGCCAAGUCGCGUGAGGGAGGACGGCCCUACGGGUUGUAAACCUCUUUUGCCGGGGAGCAACGGGCGCCACGUGUGGCGUCACUGAGAGUACCCGGAGAAAAAGCAUCGGCUAACUCCGUGCCAGCAGCCGCGGUAAUACGGGGGAUGCGAGCGUUAUCCGGUUUUAUUGGGUUUAAAGGGUGCGUAGGCGGAUGGUAAGGUCAGUGGUAAAAUUGAGGGGCUAAACCCCUUCCCGCCGUUGAAACUGGCGUUCUUGAGUGGAAGAGAGGUAUGCGGAAUGCGUGGUGUAGCGGUGAAAUGCAUAGAUAUCACGCAGAACCCCGAUUGCGAAGGCAGCAUGCCGGCUUCCGACUGACGCUGAAGCACGAAAGCGUGGGGAUCGAACAGGAUUAGAUACCCUUGUAGUC
RNAcentral lists this ribosomal RNA (460 nucleotides) under uncultured bacterium. RNAcentral's name for it is "partial 16S ribosomal RNA". It matches the Rfam family "Bacterial small subunit ribosomal RNA", at positions 338 to 795 of the family's 1533-position model. The record is from RNAcentral.